This 2404-nucleotide unclassified non-coding RNA is filed under the name Leishmania donovani. RNAcentral describes it as "gene:unknown". The record is from RNAcentral. Lineage: Eukaryota; Euglenozoa; Kinetoplastea; Trypanosomatida; Trypanosomatidae.
CACUUCACCUCGCCAUUGCGCUUUCCAGGCUUUGCUCGCUGCUUCGGGGGCACUACUCCGCGCAGACUCGAGGAGGUCGUGGUGGCACAUCACACAACACAGGCGAGUGCGCACCUACGCAGACACAGACACACUAUCCUUUAGCACUGCUCACGCGAGCAAGCGAGGGAGCCUACCAGGAGCUCUUUCUGUUCGCGCUGCGCUGUCCGCGUGCCGCUCGCUCACCUCUUGCGUUGCCCACGCUUUCACUAUCCUGGGCAGCGCGUUGCACAUAAACCGUAGAGGUGCAUUCCUACGGCCCGACACACUCGCAGACAAGCAGCAAGACAGCACUCUCUCGCCUGAGCCUGUGUGACUGUUUCUCACACAUCCUUUGGUGAUGAUGCCCCUCACCCUUGUGGAUGCCUAUGCGCUGGCGCUGAGGACGCUGGACCCCGCCGCGUGGGAGCUGUUUGGCGCACUGGAAGAUCGCAUUCUACACUCAGCCGCAUUUCUGCUCGGCCGCGUGGAGCUGACCGCCUUGCGCCCAGCAGUGAAGGACAGUGCAACGGCUCUUUCACGCACCGCCGCCUCAUGCGUGCAGCCGACCGUGACGUCUGGGGUGCGCGACGCGGAGGGGACGGAUAUCGCAUCGGUGUCGGCGGAGAUGCUUCGUUACCUGCGCGAGACGCUCCAAGCAGGCGCUGCUCACACAUUCCAGACAAGGCUCGACUCACCAACGACGUCGGCGCCCGCACGUCUCGUGAAGGAUCUGUCACGCGUGCGUGAGCAGGUCGCCUCAGCGCAGUCGCCGUCUUCGUCUUCGCGCUGUCCUGGACUCGUACUCGCGGAGCUGAGCAUCUUAUGCCAAACCGUCCUAGCGUUGUCGGCGCUGUGGAUGAGCACAAAAUUUUGGGCAACGCUGUGUGAAAGCUCCACGCUGAGCGCCCUCGUCGCUUGCUUCCUCCGUCUCUCCUCGCCACCGAGCAAGGACGAAACCGUAGCCGCCUCGUACCUACAAUGCGGCACCGUGGGGCCAGUGGCAAGCGCCGAGCGGGGUCCGUGCACAGAUGAUGCUCCGGACGUCGUUCCGAUGGAGCCGGCGAACGCGGACCAGUUGUGCCUCGCCUCCACACCGCCGUCCUCAUCCUUGGCACCUGUGCCCUUAGAGCAGCGCUCUUGCGAGGAGACUUGCAGUGCGCAGGCAGGGGUCGCUGGUGGGCUUGAGGGCGGUGCUGCCUGUGUGUCUAGCGAGAUCAUCAACGGCUACGAAGACAUAUCGUGCAGCCCGCUGGCUCCCAUGACGUGGCUCGACGGCAAUGUUGCGGAUGCGGCGGAGUCGCUGGCGAGGGACAUCGAGGACGUCGAGAUAAUUUUGCUCCGCUGCAGCGAGUACGCGGUUCCCGUGUGAAGGCGCUCUUUCGUGUGCUUCGAUUAGAGGCGGGAGACAUGCGUGCAGGUGACGCCGUGCAUGUGUGCCUGUGUGCCUGUGUGCAUGUGGUGGUGCACUGAUGACUGGCAGUCCGCUCUCCUCAGUAGCGGGGUGCAGUGGCAACAAUUUUUGCCGGUCCUCUUUCCAGAGAGCGUGCAGUCUCUCGCGAGGUUAGAGGGGCGCCACGGACAGUCCCUCGUUGAUCGGCGAGCGCGAGAUGCUCGGCGUUUCUUCAACAAGUGCUGCAACCUUUCGUGAGGGAGCUCUGUCCGCGGCACAUGAGAAAGAUGUGCCUUUAACCAGCGAACUGUAGGAUGGGCUGUGCGAUGAUGCUGAGGAGGUCGUCGACAGGCCAACAGCUUCUUGCCGCCCGCUUUCAAAGCAGGUGCCGUAAAAAAAAAACAGAAGCGGGCAGAGACGUGGCGGCAACACCUCCGCGCAGGCGGCCGCCUUGCUUCCUUGCCAACUAAACGAGCUGGCAGAAGACGGCAAGCGUGGGAAAGGGCUGGAGCGAGGGAGGAGCAACGAGCGUUACUUUUUCCUGCGAUGGUGCUGCUCUCGCGGCGGUGCCCGAUAGCUCGCUGCCACCCCCGCCUCCCUCACCCUCUCGCCAUCACUAACACAUCGCUUUUUCCCCCCCUCUCUGAGCCGCGCUUCUCGCAGAACGGGCCUGUGCGUGCGGACCGGCUUGCUACUUCUCACGCAAGGAUAAGAGCGCAGAAAGCCAAUCUCGGAGCCAUGCGCGCCCGUGUGUCCCUCUCUCUCUUUGGGCGCGCUUGGUUGGCCGGGCACUGGAGUCCUGUUUUGUGAGCUUGACAUCCUUUCUGUUUCGCUUAGCCGCCUCACUUCUCUCUGGCUCUCCACCUCUUUUCUCUCGUCCUUUCUUUCCUCUCACGCGUGCUGUGCGCCACUCCCACACGCAUCGCGCUGCUGCUCCGUGCAUCCCUCACGCUCGUCUCCUCUCUGUGACCCCCGCCCGCCGCGCGCCGACAG